RNAcentral lists this ribosomal RNA (441 nucleotides) under uncultured bacterium. RNAcentral describes it as "partial 16S ribosomal RNA". It matches the Rfam family "Bacterial small subunit ribosomal RNA", at positions 338 to 795 of the family's 1533-position model. The record is from RNAcentral.
CCUACGGGAGGCAGCAGUGGGGAAUAUUGCACAAUGGGGGAAACCCUGAUGCAGCGACGCCGCGUGAGUGAAGAAGUAAUUCGUUAUGUAAAGCUCUAUCAGCAGGGAAGAAAAUGACGGUACCUGAGUAAGAAGCCCCGGCUAACUACGUGCCAGCAGCCGCGGUAAUACGUAUGGGGGCAAGCGUUAUCCGGAUUUACUGGGUGUAAAGGGAGCGUAGACGGCAGUGCAAGUCUGGAGUGAAAGGCGGGGGCUCAACCCCCGGACUGCUCUGGAAACUGUACGGCUGGAAUGCAGGAGAGGUAAGUGGAAUUCCUAGUGUAGCGGUGAAAUGCGUAGAUAUUAGGAGGAACACCAGUGGCGAAGGCGGCUUACUGGACUGUAACUGACGUUGAGGCUCGAAAGCGUGGGGAGCAAACAGGAUUAGAUACCCUGGUAGUC